AAGGCGUCAACUACGUCAAUAAGGCAGCGGGUGGUCAAUAUACAUUAUUGCCAACGGACCGGUUCUCCUCAAAUGUCACGUCGGUAUGCGGGUUUGCAUGUCGGGUUGCCAACUUCGCGUGUGCGUGUUGCGUGUUGCGUUUUGCGUUUUUCAAGCACACACACGCGAACAUGACUUUGUAACUUGUGCCACACAUUGGUCGAGUGUUUGUGGGGUGCUGCCCCCUGAAUGUUGGCUUCUACAGGGAUGGUGUGGCUGCUUGUAUUGCAGCGGUGAAAGGUGCAUUAAUAGACCCACGGUAGUGUACUUGUGCUGACGUG
Molecule: long non-coding RNA, 320 nt
Filed under: Chlamydomonas reinhardtii
Lineage: Eukaryota; Viridiplantae; Chlorophyta; Chlorophyceae; Chlamydomonadales; Chlamydomonadaceae
Description: long non-coding RNA (CREI_LNC001469)
Source: RNAcentral